RNAcentral lists this ribosomal RNA (506 nucleotides) under uncultured bacterium. RNAcentral's name for it is "partial 16S ribosomal RNA". It matches the Rfam family "Bacterial small subunit ribosomal RNA", at positions 28 to 523 of the family's 1533-position model. The record is from RNAcentral.
GAUGAACGCUAGCUACAGGCUUAACACAUGCAAGUCGAGGGGUAACGAGAGGAAAGCUUGCUUUCCUUGUCGACGACCGGCGCACAGGUGAGUAACGCGUAUCCAACCUGCCCCCAACUAGGGAAUAACCUUGCGAAAGUAAGACUAAUACCCUAUAAUUUCCUCAGAUGACAUCUGACGAGGAAUAAAGAUUUAUCGGUUGUGGAUGGGGAUGCGUCUGAUUAGCUUGUUGGCGGGGUAACGGCCCACCAAGGCAACGAUCAGUAGGGGUUCUGAGAGGAAGGUCCCCCACAUUGGAACUGAGACACGGUCCAAACUCCUACGGGAGGCAGCAGUGAGGAAUAUUGGUCAAUGGGCGGAAGCCUGAACCAGCCAAGUAGCGUGCAGGAUGACGGCCCUAUGGGUUGUAAACUGCUUUUAUACAGGAAUAAAGUUAGCCACGUGUGGUUAUUUGUAGGUACCGUAUGAAUAAGGACCGGCUAAUUCCGUGCCAGCCGCCGCCGUAA